UGCAAUGCUACUGUUGGAGCCAAAACACUCAGAUAUGCAGAGCAUCCCAAGAAGAUGCUAAGUACUCCGAUAGUAUUGUGAAGUCAUAGAGAACAAAGUGAUGAACAGUGUGCAGAGUGACUCAGGAGCAUUGGAGAAGGC
Molecule: long non-coding RNA, 141 nt
Organism: Oxyura jamaicensis (ruddy duck)
Lineage: Eukaryota; Metazoa; Chordata; Aves; Anseriformes; Anatidae
Exons: 3
Source: RefSeq, a predicted model, not a curated record